GAUUCCCAUACUCUUGGGGACUCUCCACAACAUGUACGAAGAGAAAAAUCAAAGGGAUAUCAAAGGGCAGAGCAUAUUUACAACAAGAUCUGGUUGUAACAGAACAGUUUUCAGGAAAAGGUCCUUUUAUUUCAACUUUGUUUAACAGUGAUUGGGGCCUACCUCUGCGCUUUGUCGACUUCCGCCCCCUGAAUUCGACACGGGAAAGUUUCCCUGAUUUGAGGAUUGA
Long non-coding RNA from Saccostrea cuccullata (small rock oyster), 229 nucleotides. RefSeq lists it as uncharacterized. Lineage: Eukaryota; Metazoa; Mollusca; Bivalvia; Ostreida; Ostreidae. The record is from RefSeq and is a predicted model, not a curated record. The transcript is spliced from 3 exons.